GAUAUAUAAUAAGUGUGGGUGCACUUAAUAUGAAAGAGGUAAAUUAUGGUUGAACAGACAUAAAACACAAAAGUCCAGGUUUUGUUUUGAUCAGAACUUGUACAAUUUUCUCUGUCCUUAACAGGUUAAUGAAAGCCUGCAUUGCAAAGUGCAUGAAUCCAAAUAGACAGAUAAUUAUUGUUCAUACUGGACUAUACAUUUUGUGUAAAUCCCCCUGCAGUUCAGUAAAAAAAUGUUUUAGAAAACUCAGCUAAUAUUUAGAAGAUGAUAGGAAAGUUGCAAAAUAUUCAGUGAUUAGUUGAAAUGAUGUAUAUG
Pelobates cultripes (western spadefoot toad) is the source of this 315-nucleotide non-coding RNA. Lineage: Eukaryota; Metazoa; Chordata; Amphibia; Anura; Pelobatidae. The record is from the annotation of a GenBank genome assembly.